Molecule: ribosomal RNA, 468 nt
Filed under: uncultured bacterium
Lineage: Bacteria
Description: partial 16S ribosomal RNA
Rfam family: Bacterial small subunit ribosomal RNA
Source: RNAcentral
GACGAACGCUGGCGGCGUGCUUAACACAUGCAAGUCGAACGGAAAGGCCCUGCUUUUGUGGGGUGCUCGAGUGGCGAACGGGUGAGUAACACGUGAGUAACCUGCCCUUGACUUUGGGAUAACUUCAGGAAACUGGGGCUAAUACCGGGUAGGAGCUCCUGCUGCAUGGUGGGGGUUGGAAAGUUUCGGCGGUUGGGGAUGGACUCGCGGCUUAUCAGCUUGUUGGUGGGGUCGUGGCUUACCAAGGCUUUGACGGGUAGCCGGCCUGAGAGGGUGACCGGCCACAUUGGGACUGAGAUACGGCCCAGACUCCUACGGGAGGCAGCAGUGGGGAAUAUUGCACAAUGGGCGGAAGCCUGAUGCAGCAACGCCGCGUGCGGGAUGACGGCCUUCGGGCUGUAAACCGCUUUCGCCUGUGACGAAGCGUGAGUGACGGUAAUGGGUAAAGAAGCACCGGCUAACUACGUG